This 600-nucleotide ribosomal RNA is filed under the name Wautersiella sp. SS102. RNAcentral's name for it is "bacterial SSU rRNA". It matches the Rfam family "Bacterial small subunit ribosomal RNA", at positions 26 to 627 of the family's 1533-position model. Lineage: Bacteria; Pseudomonadati; Bacteroidota; Flavobacteriia; Flavobacteriales; Weeksellaceae. The record is from RNAcentral.
CGUUGUACGCUAGCGGGAGGCUUAUCACAUGCAGCCGAGGGGUAUAGUUCUUUCGGGAACUAGAGACCGGCGCACGGGUGCGUAACGCGUAUGCAACUUGCCCUACUGAAAAGGAUAGCCCUUCGAAAGGAGGAUUAAUACUUUAUAAUAGAUUUCAUGGCAUCAUUAGAUUUUGAAAGAUUUAUCGCAGUAGGAUAGGCAUGCGUAAGAUUAGUUAGUUGGUGAGGUAACGGCUCACCAAGACGAUGAUCUUUAGGGGGCCUGAGAGGGUGAACCCCCACACUGGUACUGAGACACGAACCAGAUCUCAACGGGAGGCAGCAGUGAGGAGUAUCGGACAAUGGGUGGAAGCAUGAUCCAGCCAUCCGGCGUGUAGGAUGACGGCCUUAUGGGUUGUAGACUACUCGUAUCUGGGGAUAAACCUACAUACGUGUGAGUGGCUGAAGGUACCAGAAGAAUAAGCACCGGCUAACUCUGUGCCAGCAGCCGCGCUAAUACGGAGGAUGCAAGCGUUAUCCGUGAUCUAUUGAGUUUAAAGAGUCAGUAGGCGGAUUAAUCAGUCAGUGGUGAGAUCUCAUAGCUUAACUAUGAAACUGCCAU